This 441-nucleotide ribosomal RNA is filed under the name uncultured bacterium. RNAcentral's name for it is "bacterial SSU rRNA". It matches the Rfam family "Bacterial small subunit ribosomal RNA", at positions 338 to 795 of the family's 1533-position model. The record is from RNAcentral.
CCUACGGGAGGCAGCAGUGAGGAAUUUUCGGCAAUGGGGGCAACCCUGACCGAGCAACGCCGCGUGCAGGAAGAAGGUCUUCGGAUCGUAAACUGCUUUUCUCUGGGAAGAGCGAGGACGGUACCAGAGGAAGAAGCCCCGGCUAACUACGUGCCAGCAGCCGCGGUAAUACGUAGGGGGCGAGCGUUGUCCGGAGUUACUGGGCGUAAAGGGCACGCAGGCGGUCGCGUAAGUUUGGGGUUACAGCUCCCGGCUCAACUGGGAGAGCGCCUCGAAGACUGCACGACUUGAGAGCCAGAGAGGGACACAGAAUUCCGGGUGUAGUGGUGAAAUGCGUAGAUAUCCGGAGGAAUACCAAAGGCGAAGGCAGUGUCCUGGAGGGUUUCUGACGCUGAGGUGCGAAAGCUAGGGGAGCGAACGGGAUUAGAUACCCCGGUAGUC